Non-coding RNA from Ictidomys tridecemlineatus (thirteen-lined ground squirrel), 73 nucleotides. NCBI's taxonomy places the organism in Eukaryota, Metazoa, Chordata, Mammalia, Rodentia, Sciuridae. The record is from Rfam.
AGGGGUAUAGCUUAGUUGGUAGAGUGCUUGCCUAGCAUGCACAAGGUCCUGGGUUCAAUCCCCAGCACCCCAA